Molecule: transfer RNA, 68 nt
Filed under: Heterocephalus glaber (naked mole-rat)
Lineage: Eukaryota; Metazoa; Chordata; Mammalia; Rodentia; Bathyergidae
Rfam family: tRNA
About the family: Transfer RNA (tRNA) molecules are approximately 80 nucleotides in length. Their secondary structure includes four short double-helical elements and three loops (D, anti-codon, and T loops).
Source: Rfam by way of RNAcentral
AGGGAUAUAGCUCAGUAGUAGAGCACAUGCCCAGCAUGCAUAAGUCCUGGGUUUGAUCCCCAGCACUA